ACGUGUGACAUCGAAGUCUUUGAACGCAUGUUGCGCCCGAUGCCAUUAGGUUGAGGGCACGUCUGCCUGGGUGUCACAUAUCGAAGCCUCCUGCCAAUAUCCUUUUGAUAGGUAUUGUGCGGGGUGAAUGAUGGCCUCCCGUGAGCUCUUUUGUCUCAUGGUUGGUUGAAAAUUGAGACUUUGGUAGGGUGUGCCAUGAUAGAUGGUGGUUGUGUGACCCACGAGACCAAUCAUGUGCUGCUCUAUUGAAUUUGGCCUCUUUUACCCACAUGCGUUUCUAAAUGCUCGUGAUGAGACCUCAGGUCAGGCGGGGCUACCCGCUGAAUUUAAGCAUAUCAAUAAGCGGAGGAAAAGAAACUAACAAGGAUUCCCUUAGUAACGGCGAGCGAACCGGGAUAAGCCCACCAUGAGAAUCGGCCGCCCUCGGCGUUCGAAUUGUAGUUGAAAAAAACCGUCAAAAAGGG
This 464-nucleotide ribosomal RNA is filed under the name Vicia ervilia. RNAcentral describes it as "eukaryotic LSU rRNA". The stretch from base 294 to 464 matches the Rfam family "Eukaryotic large subunit ribosomal RNA", at positions 1 to 173 of the family's 3401-position model. Lineage: Eukaryota; Viridiplantae; Streptophyta; Magnoliopsida; Fabales; Fabaceae. The record is from RNAcentral.